AGCGAACGCUGGCGGCAGGCUUAACACAUGCAAGUCGAGCGGACGUAGCAAUACGUCAGCGGCAGACGGGUGAGUAACGCGUGGGAACGUACCUUUUGGUUCGGAACAACCCAGGGAAACUUGGGCUAAUACCGGAUAAGCCCUUACGGGGAAAGAUUUAUCGCCGAAAGAUCGGCCCGCGUCUGAUUAGCUAGUUGGUGAGGUAACGGCUCACCAAGGCGACGAUCAGUAGCUGGUCUGAGAGGAUGAUCAGCCACAUUGGGACUGAGACACGGCCCAAACUCCUACGGGAGGCAGCAGUGGGGAAUAUUGGACAAUGGGCGCAAGCCUGAUCCAGCCAUGCCGCGUGAGUGAUGAAGGCCUUC
This 365-nucleotide ribosomal RNA is filed under the name uncultured bacterium. RNAcentral describes it as "bacterial SSU rRNA". It matches the Rfam family "Bacterial small subunit ribosomal RNA", at positions 29 to 419 of the family's 1533-position model. The record is from RNAcentral.